Molecule: non-coding RNA, 25 nt
Filed under: Rattus norvegicus (Norway rat)
Lineage: Eukaryota; Metazoa; Chordata; Mammalia; Rodentia; Muridae
Source: RNAcentral
UGGCUUGAGGUUUCCUCAGAGACCC